UGGGGUAUGGCUCAGCGGUAGAGCACUUGCCUAGCAAGUGUGCAAGGCCCUGAGUUCAAUCCUCAGCACCACAU
This 74-nucleotide transfer RNA is filed under the name Marmota marmota marmota (Alpine marmot). It matches the Rfam family "tRNA". Rfam says of the family: Transfer RNA (tRNA) molecules are approximately 80 nucleotides in length. Their secondary structure includes four short double-helical elements and three loops (D, anti-codon, and T loops). RNAcentral also lists the same sequence under 1 other name. The record is from Rfam by way of RNAcentral. Lineage: Eukaryota; Metazoa; Chordata; Mammalia; Rodentia; Sciuridae.